UACGGGGGGGGCAAGCGUUGUUCGGAAUUACUGGGCGUAAAGGGCUCGUAGGCGGCCAACUAAGUCGGAUGUGAAAUCCCCAGGCUUAACCUGGGAACUGCAUCCGAUACUGGAUGGCUUGAAUUCGGGAGAGGGAUGCAGAAUUCCAGGUGUAGCGGUGAAAUGCGUAGAUAUCUGGAGGAACACCGGUGGCGAAGGCGGGUCUCUGGGCCGAUACUGACGCUGAGGAGCGAAAGCGUGGGGAGCGAACAGG
RNAcentral lists this ribosomal RNA (253 nucleotides) under uncultured bacterium. RNAcentral's name for it is "partial 16S ribosomal RNA". It matches the Rfam family "Bacterial small subunit ribosomal RNA", at positions 524 to 776 of the family's 1533-position model. The record is from RNAcentral.